AGGGCACCACCAGGAGUGGAGCCUGCGGCUUAAUUUGACUCAACACGGGGAAACUUACCCGGCCUGGACACUGGAAGGAUUGACAGAUUGAGAGCUCUUUCUUGAUUCAGUGGGUGGUGGUGCAUGGCCGUUCUUAGUUGGUGGAGCGAUUUGUCUGGUUAAUUCCGAUAACGAACGAGACUCUAGCCUAUUAAAUAGGCUCCCGGCUUUUAAACGCCGGGAGGACUUCUUAGAGGGACAGGUGGCGGUUCAGCCGCACGAAAGAGAGCAAUAACAGGUCUGUGAUGCCCUUUGUUGUCCGGGGCCGCACGCGCGCUACACUGAAGAGAUCAGCGUGCUUUACGUUCCUGCUCCGACCGGAGUGGGGAACCCAGUGAACCUUCUUCGUGAUUGGGAUAGAAGAUUAUAAUUAUUCUUCUUGAACGAGGAAUUCCCAGUAAAUGCGAGUCAUAAGCUCGCGUUGAUUACGUCCCUGCCCUUUGUACACACCGCCCGUCGCUACUACCGAUUGAACGUUUU
Molecule: ribosomal RNA, 519 nt
Filed under: uncultured eukaryote
Lineage: Eukaryota
Description: SSU rRNA
Rfam family: Eukaryotic small subunit ribosomal RNA
Source: RNAcentral